Molecule: long non-coding RNA, 258 nt
Filed under: Nicotiana benthamiana
Lineage: Eukaryota; Viridiplantae; Streptophyta; Magnoliopsida; Solanales; Solanaceae
Description: long non-coding RNA (NBEN_LNC022964)
Source: RNAcentral
CUGUGUAGGUAGUUGGAGGCUGAGUUUUCACAAAGUCUCCAACAAUUAUGUUCUCCAUACCAGUUGGCAUGAGAUUGUGACGAGCUGCAUUUUGUAGCUCAAUAUCCAGUGGGCGGACUGUCUUAUCACAUCCAUUGACGAGCUACAUUUUGUAGCUCAAAAUCCAGUGGGCGGACUGUCUUAUCACAUCCAUAAGGAGGUGAUAUCAGACCUAAAUUUUCUUGACCUUGCAAGACCUUGGAGGAUCUUACCGACUCC